RNAcentral lists this ribosomal RNA (366 nucleotides) under uncultured cyanobacterium. RNAcentral's name for it is "bacterial SSU rRNA". It matches the Rfam family "Bacterial small subunit ribosomal RNA", at positions 355 to 737 of the family's 1533-position model. Lineage: Bacteria; Bacillati; Cyanobacteriota. The record is from RNAcentral.
UGGGGAAUUUUCCGCAAUGGGCGAAAGCCUGACGGAGCAAUACCGCGUGAGGGACGAAGGCCUGUGGGUUGUAAACCUCUUUUGUUAGGGAAGAUAAUGACGGUACCUAACGAAUAAGCAUCGGCUAACUCCGUGCCAGCAGCCGCGGUAAGACGGAGGAUGCAAGCGUUAUCCGGAAUUAUUGGGCGUAAAGCGUACGUAGGCUGUUUCAUAAGUCUGUUGUCAAAGCCCGAGGCUCAACCUUGGAUCGGCAAUGGAAACUGUGAGACUAGAGAGAGAUAGGGGCAGGAGGAAUUCCAGGUGUAGCGGUGAAAUGCGUAGAUAUCUGGAAGAACACCCAGUGGCGAAAGCGUCCUGCUGGAUCUC